AGAAUGGUAUAAUGGAAAUGGAAACAGUCUGACCUCUGACUUUUGGAAACAGAAAGGCAAGGACUUGAUCUGUAAUUCUGUCCAUUGCUAUACAUCUUGAACUAACAAAUAUAGAAUUAAAUGAUAAGACAGAAAACAGUUUGAUGACUGGAACACUUAGUGACAUCAUUUAAUAGCCUGUGGCAUCGAAGCUAUUACAGUAAUAAUUUCUCUCCAGUGAGGAAGACUACAUAAUGGCACUUGCCUGGAAGUCUUAAUUUUCCAACCCAAAACUUCAGGA
RNAcentral lists this long non-coding RNA (280 nucleotides) under Papio anubis (olive baboon). RNAcentral's name for it is "lncRNA (ENSPANG00000046270.1)". Lineage: Eukaryota; Metazoa; Chordata; Mammalia; Primates; Cercopithecidae. The record is from RNAcentral.